UCGGUUGCUCUUCAACGUUCUCUCUACUCAAGACUGGCAUUGAUCUGCAUCAAGUGAAUUCGAAAUUUCUUCCUAUCUGUUCAGAGACUUCGUCCAUGCAGAUGUUUGACAUGUUGGAGAAGAAGAGAGGCACACUGUAUUUGUAUUUGCUUAUAACAAUAAUUUGCUACGUUGUUUUGACUGUAUCAUCAACCGAUACGAAUGACAACAACAGCAUGUGCAUUGGAGAAAAGGGACAAAAGGGAGACGUUGGCCAUCAAGGUCCUCAAGGCGUACGAG
Molecule: long non-coding RNA, 279 nt
Organism: Corticium candelabrum
Lineage: Eukaryota; Metazoa; Porifera; Homoscleromorpha; Homosclerophorida; Plakinidae
Exons: 3
Source: RefSeq, a predicted model, not a curated record